Non-coding RNA from Gossypium raimondii (Peruvian cotton), 131 nucleotides. The record is from Rfam. Lineage: Eukaryota; Viridiplantae; Streptophyta; Magnoliopsida; Malvales; Malvaceae.
UAUUAAAAAUUUCAUCCAUUUAUACUAUUAUAAACUGGUGUGGAGACAAUGACACAUGGCGUGCCACGUAUACUGCAUGCUGGCAUACAAAGACUAGUUUUUAACAGUAGAAAUGUAUGAAAUUUUUAACA